UCUCUUCUCCUCCUCUCCCCUUCCAGAUCCGCCCUCGCCGCCACCCGCCCCUCCCCUCGCUGUCCUCGAUCCAGAUCGCUCCUCCCUCCCUCCCCUCCGGCAUUACGACGCCCCGAAGCGUGCGUGCUCGCCGCGUGCUCGACGUGAGGAUAGCGCUCCCUACCUCUUCUCCACCUCGCGCCUCGCAGUCGUACUACCAACCAACCCCGGCCGACGCAACUCCAGUCACUCCCCGCCUCCCGCGAUGGUCGCCACGACGAAGAUCCUGCAGCGGCAGCUCUUCAUCGAAUGGCGCUGCUGAACCAUCCCACGAGGGAGCUCCAGCAAGGCCGCUCGGGUGGUGCGUUGGACGGUCGCCGACCUCGCGUAACCCCGGUGCCGCACGGCUCCGAGCACCCGGCGACCUCGGCAUACCGCAGGAGCGGACCCGACCCACAGGCAAAGGGUGAUCGAGGAGAUGGGAAAGGCCUGGGCGAGUGGACCGGUCUGAUCGGUUAGGGUGGCGACCAAGGAGCUGAGGAUGUCGAGGAGGGCGGUGAACCCCGGCGGUCAUGGAAAGGCGGCUGGACAUGUGAGGGCGAGCUGGAGGAGCUUGAGAAGGGCGUGGAGCCUGCGUGCUGAACGUCAUUGACCACAUCAAGGCUGUCAAGGACUCGCCCGACCUCUGUGCCGCCGUCGAGGAUGUCCAGAUGCUGGCGUUUCAUGUUUCGUCACGAGCAUCAAGAUGAAGAAGUCGGAAGAAGCAUAGUUCAAGCUCAUCGGAGCUAGUUCAAGGAGUAAUGAAGCCCUUGAUGCUGAUCCGUAUUGGAACAAAUUGAAGCACGAACUGUGACAUAUAGAGCUUGUUAUACUGUAGAGCUUGAUGCUCAUCGGCUCAUGUGACAUAUUGUACACCUGUAGAGCUUGUUAUAUUGUGAUCGCAUUUGUAUGUGUUGAUGUAACAGAUUGUUGCUUCUUGUUAUUUGAAGUAUUACACCUGUUUUCUGUC
Long non-coding RNA from Triticum urartu, 988 nucleotides. RefSeq lists it as uncharacterized. The record is from RefSeq and is a predicted model, not a curated record. Lineage: Eukaryota; Viridiplantae; Streptophyta; Magnoliopsida; Poales; Poaceae.